This 262-nucleotide long non-coding RNA is filed under the name Mytilus galloprovincialis (Mediterranean mussel). The record is from RNAcentral. Lineage: Eukaryota; Metazoa; Mollusca; Bivalvia; Mytilida; Mytilidae.
GUUUGUUUAUAGGUUUAUGGUGAAUGGAAACAUAAAUAUAGACUUUUUAAAAAAUCUUGCAUCUUUUGGGGAUAUCAUUCCAGGAAAGUGGAAGGAUAUCAUGUUUACUUGAAGUGGUGAGGUCUAGUAAAAAUAGCAAACAGAAAGUAGAAAAAAAUGAGUUGACUUCAGGAUUGCGUAACGUUUUAUUCUUCGUGGCAAGACCCCCUUUUUUCAAUUAAAUCACAAUUUCACUUUGGUACAUCCAUGAUAUGAACAUGAA